This 73-nucleotide transfer RNA is filed under the name Candidatus Altarchaeales archaeon WOR_SM1_SCG. RNAcentral describes it as "Candidatus Altiarchaeales archaeon WOR_SM1_SCG tRNA". It matches the Rfam family "tRNA". Rfam says of the family: Transfer RNA (tRNA) molecules are approximately 80 nucleotides in length. Lineage: Archaea; Nanobdellati; Candidatus Altarchaeota; Candidatus Altarchaeia; Candidatus Altarchaeales. The record is from Rfam by way of RNAcentral.
GCCUUGGUAGCUCAGUUGGUGGAGCGCUCGGCUGUUAACCGAGUGGUCGCAGGUUCAAGUCCUGCCCAAGGCG